RNAcentral lists this long non-coding RNA (226 nucleotides) under Zostera marina. RNAcentral describes it as "long non-coding RNA (ZMAR_LNC004186)". The record is from RNAcentral. Lineage: Eukaryota; Viridiplantae; Streptophyta; Magnoliopsida; Alismatales; Zosteraceae.
UACAGUGUAGUGAAAAAGGCAGGAAACCUAUUAGGCUCUUCAACUCAUGGCUAGAAGAUCCAGAAUUUAUCUCCAUUGCCAGGAGUGGCCUGGUUAAAGAGUUUAAAGGUACAUGCCCAUUUAAAAUACAACAGAAACUGAAAGCUGUAAAAAUCUUAGCAAUGAAAUGGGUUAGAAAGAAAGGCAAUUUUGACAAACAAGCAGUAACAAGGGAAGAUUUUGACAG